GUUUGUUUUCAUGGCAGGCUCUGAAGCAGAGAGAGGAUGGGGGCAUAUUGUAAAAUCAUCUUUUAUGGGCUGUUAUUGAAUAUGAAUUGACUGCAGUGCUGAAGAGUGAAUAGGAACACAUACUGAGCAAG
Long non-coding RNA from Gavialis gangeticus (Gharial), 131 nucleotides. RefSeq lists it as uncharacterized. The transcript is spliced from 3 exons. Lineage: Eukaryota; Metazoa; Chordata; Crocodylia; Gavialidae. The record is from RefSeq and is a predicted model, not a curated record.